RNAcentral lists this ribosomal RNA (464 nucleotides) under uncultured bacterium. RNAcentral's name for it is "partial 16S ribosomal RNA". It matches the Rfam family "Bacterial small subunit ribosomal RNA", at positions 338 to 795 of the family's 1533-position model. The record is from RNAcentral.
CCUACGGGGGGCAGCAGUGGGGAAUAUUGGGCAAUGGGCGCAAGCCUGACCCAGCAACGCCGCGUGAAGGAAGAAGGCUCUCGGGUUGUAAACUUCUGUUAUAAAGGAAGAAAGACGGAUGGAGGAAAUGACAUCCGAGUGACGGUACUUUAUGAGAAAGCCACGGCUAACUACGUGCCAGCAGCCGCGGUAAUACGUAGGUGGCAAGCGUUAUCCGGAAUUAUUGGGCGUAAAGAGGGAGCAGGCGGCAGCAAAGGUCUGUGGUGAAAGAGUGAAGCUUAACUUCAGUAAGCCAUAGAAACCGGGCAGCUAGAGUGCAGGAGAGGAUCGUGGAAUUCCAUGUGUAGCGGUGAAAUGCGUAGAUAUAUGGAGGAACACCAGUGGCGAAGGCGACGAUCUGGCCUGCAACUGACGCUCAGUCCCGAAAGCGUGGGGAGCAAAUAGGAUUAGAUACCCGAGUAGUC